GGCGGCUGCAGCGAGAACGCUGUAGCUGUAGUCCAACGAGUUGAUGUCCAUCAUACACACGUCUAACAGCUGAAACACAAGAGGUCAAAGGUUUCCUGAGGAAACUGUGGAACCAGGAAGUUCUCUCCGUCCGUCUGAGCCUCCACCUGAACGUAAAGCUUCAACCAGGAGAUCGGCGUCUCUGGACACAGAUUCCAGUCCAACGCCUGCAGGACGACAAACACACAAACACAUUAAUAUCAUCAGUUAAUGGAAAACACACACAGAGCUGCUGCUUAGAUGAUGAUCAGAUGUUAAUUUAACUUGUUGUUAUUCUAUUAUUCAUGUUUUUCCUUCCAAAUGUUCAAAAUUCAAGUUUAAUUUUCAUCAUUUCUGCAGUGCAAAAUAUAACUUUAGAGCAGAAAUGAUUAAUUAUUAGUUGCAGAAUCAUUUUCUUGAUUUAUUGUUUUGUCAAAAUGUCAUAAGAUUGUGAAAACCUGUUAUAAACUUCUCAUGUGACAUAUGUGUCAUAUUUAAUCCAAACAGUCCAGUAUUCAGUUUAUGAUCAUAUAUGACAAAGAAAAACAUUAAAAAGAAGCUGAAACCAG
This is a long non-coding RNA of Thunnus maccoyii (southern bluefin tuna), 587 nucleotides long. RefSeq lists it as uncharacterized. The record is from RefSeq and is a predicted model, not a curated record. The transcript is spliced from 2 exons. NCBI's taxonomy places the organism in Eukaryota, Metazoa, Chordata, Actinopteri, Scombriformes, Scombridae.